This 240-nucleotide unclassified non-coding RNA is filed under the name soil metagenome. RNAcentral describes it as "partial contains 5.8S ribosomal RNA, internal transcribed spacer 2, and large subunit ribosomal RNA". The record is from RNAcentral.
AACCAUUCUCACCUGCGGCUAGACCUGCGGAAGGAUCAUUACCGAGUGUGAACCCCCCCGUAAAAAAGAGGGGUUACCUCCCGUCCUUUGCUGGGAACCCCUUUCCAACUUGGAAGGAGGUUGUUUUCAGACCCUUCUGCUUCGGUGGGGUAACCCACCGGAACAACCUCAAAAAUAUUCUCAAUUCAAAACCGUUCAGUCCGAGAACUUUUUUGAAAAGCGAAAAAACUUUCAGCAAUG